GAUGAACGCUGGCGGCGUGCCUAAUACAUGCAAGUCGAGCGAACGGACGAGAAGCUUGCUUCUCUGAUGUUAGCGGCGGACGGGUGAGUAACACGUGGAUAACCUACCUAUAAGACUGGGAUAACUUCGGGAAACCGGAGCUAGUACCGGAUGAUAUUUUGAACCGCAUGGUUCAAAAGUGAAAGACGGUCUUGCUGUCACUUAUAGAUGGAUCCGCGCUGCAUUAGCUAGUUGGUAAGGUAACGGCUUACCAAGGCAACGAUGCAUAGCCGACCUGAGAGGGUGAUCGGCCACACUGGAACUGAGACACGGUCCCGACUCCUACGGGAGGCCGCAGUAGGGAAUCUUCCGCAAUGGGCGAAAGCCUGACGGAGCAACGCCGCGUGAGUGAUGAAGGUCUUCGGAUCGUAAAACUCUGUUAUUAGGGAAGAACAUAUGUGUAAGUAACUGUGCACAUCUUGACGGUACCUAAUCAGAAAGCCACGGCUAACUACGUG
Molecule: ribosomal RNA, 497 nt
Filed under: uncultured bacterium
Lineage: Bacteria
Description: partial 16S ribosomal RNA
Rfam family: Bacterial small subunit ribosomal RNA
Source: RNAcentral